This 446-nucleotide ribosomal RNA is filed under the name uncultured bacterium. RNAcentral's name for it is "partial 16S ribosomal RNA". It matches the Rfam family "Bacterial small subunit ribosomal RNA", at positions 338 to 795 of the family's 1533-position model. The record is from RNAcentral.
CCUACGGGAGGCAGCAGUCGAGAAUCAUUCACAAUGGGGGAAACCCUGAUGGUGCGACGCCGCGUGGGGGAAUGAAGGUCUUCGGAUUGUAAACCCCUGUCAUGUGGGAGCAAAUUAAAAAGAUAGUACCACAAGAGGAAGAGACGGCUAACUCUGUGCCAGCAGCAGCGGUAAUACAGAGGUCUCAAGCGUUGUUCGGAAUCACUGGGCGGAAAGCGUGCGUAGGCUGUUUCGUAAGUCGUGUGUGAAAGGCGCGGGCUCAACCCGCGGACGGCACAUGAUACUGCGAGACUAGAGUAAUGGAGGGGGAACCGGAAUUCUCGGUGUAGCAGUGAAAUGCGUAGAUAUCGAGAGGAACACUCGUGGCGAAGGCGGGUUCCUGGACAUUAACUGACGCUGAGGCACGAAGGCCAGGGGAGCGAAAGGGAUUAGAUACCCUAGUAGUC